Lycium ferocissimum is the source of this 2116-nucleotide long non-coding RNA. RefSeq lists it as uncharacterized. NCBI's taxonomy places the organism in Eukaryota, Viridiplantae, Streptophyta, Magnoliopsida, Solanales, Solanaceae. The record is from RefSeq and is a predicted model, not a curated record. The transcript has 2 exons.
CUUUAUUAGAAGAUGUACAACCAUACAAAUAUUUAAGACUUGUUUUGGAUCACACAUUUUUAAAGUCUUACUUGAUUUCUUAAAUUCCGUACCGACUCAAACUAAGGCCCUGUUUGUCCGUAGAUACCAAAAAAUUUUUUUCACUUUUUUUGGAAUUUUAGAGUUGGAGUUGAAGUUGGAGUUGUGUUUGGCCAUAGUUUUUAAAAUUAUAGUUUUUGGUGAAAUGUAGUUGUAAAAAAGUGAUUUUUUUUUAAAAACAAGUUUUUUGAGUUUUUGGUAUUCCGGAAUACAACUUCAAGUUGUAUUUGGAAUUCUCAUGGCCAAACGCUGAUUCCGGAAAAAAGUGAAAAAAAAUUCGGAAUAAAGUGAAUAAUUCUUAUGGCCAAACGGGGGCUAAGACAAUCUUUUUGGGAUGGAGGAAGUAGUAUGUAUUAAUUUGUAAAGUAUGAAUUUCAUAAUUGCAUAAUCUAUAAUACUACUGAUUAAGGAAGAAAAAUUAUGGUUCUAGUAGAAUUUGUAUAGUCCUUCGUAUCCUUUACCUUUGGUUUUAACAUAAAAUAAAUAUAUUUAGAAAUUAUUUAAUUUUAAAUCCUUUCUGAUUGCAAAUGAUUUUUAUGUGACUAUGUUAUGGAUAUUCACUAUGUGCUGUGUUUCUUGGACUUUUUCCUUACUGGUUUCUUAGUCAUUAUGUCAUUACUGAUGCUUAUUUGUAGGCUGUGAUGAUAUAAGCUUAUUGAGUUAAUCGAGUUUUGGUCAAGUGGAACCGUAUCUUGGCAGGGCAAACCAAAAUGUCUUGUAAGUGGAGUAACGAGUGUUGGAAUGACAUAGUUCCUAAACCCUAUAGUGAUUGAUGUUGUUGUUGUUGUUGUUGUAUGCUAUUCUGGUUUGCAGCCAUGGCGGUGUCCCUUUCCUUUACCCGAUUUUGUGAUUGAUCUGAGCCUACUUAUGUACUCGACCAAGAAUAGUCUGUCAGAGUGACAAAAUAAGUAAAACACUUGAGAAUGGUCUGUUGUGUUCUUGUAUUUUCUGUCUCUGCUUUAUUGGUCAUAAUGCCUUACAAAGAUCACAAUCAUAAGAGCAGUAUUAUUGAUGCUUAUGUAUAGGAUGUGAUGAUAAAGCUUCUCGGGUUUAUUUGGUUUGGGUCAACAGGACCUGUGUCUUGGUAGGGUGUGCGGAACCACAUACCAGGAUGAAUUAUAACCAUAUUGAUAUUAUUAAUAUCGAUAUUAAUGAUUUAUACAGUUAUUAGUUGUUUUUAUCAUGGUUUGAGGUCAUGGCGGCGCUCCUUCCUUACCCAAUUUUGUGUCUGACAUGAGCCUAUAUAUGUGCUCACCUGUCACUUUAUGGACACUUUAUGAAUAUAUAGUUGUGUUUGGGCUGUUAUGAUAAGUUUAUUUUCCAAUGGAAAGAAGAACCAAGUUGUAUCUUGGCUUAGAAAUGUAAAUGGCUUUUGGGUAGAUAUAACCUUGAAGUUGUUCUCCUCUAGCUAAAGUUUACCGAUUCAGGUGCUUUUCAUCAGUACAAACUUCAGCUCAAUUGGCUCUCUUUAAUAUGCUAUCAAAGAGAAGUUCACAGUUCUUGACAAUUGUAAAUGGUUUGAUGUUGUUGAAGGCAACCAGUGGACUAAAAUGGUGAAGCAAUAGAACUCAUUUUCACAUUGAGAUUGAGUGUGUGAUGGUUUGAAGGUAGUGACCAAGGUUUCCAAUAAGGAUUAUGUUUGUGGACAUUCUUGAUCAAAGCAAGUAUAUGCUGUCUGAAGAAAAGUGGCCAAGCUGAAAAAGGAUUCUUACAAUGUGAAGCACAAUUUGCAAGGAAUGUAAAAAACAACUAGAGUGAUGAAAAGCUUUUUGGAAUGGAAUGUUGAAUCAAGCACUUUGCUGCAGAUUGUAGAAAGUAUUGCUCUAUGACUUAUGUUUUCUAGUGAUGUUCAUGAGCAGAAAACCUUUUCCUUUUGUUGUUGUAUUAUGGCAAAUAGCUAAGUUUUUAUGCUAGUCAGCAGGGGAAAUAUUUGUUAUUUGGAAGUCGGCAUCCUUGAUAUGACUGUUUUUUUUUUUAAAAAAAAAAAAAUCUAGGAAAGUUGUUUUAUUUCAUAUUGUCAGUCUCAAGCUCGAACAAA